Long non-coding RNA from Vespula vulgaris, 1085 nucleotides. RefSeq lists it as uncharacterized. NCBI's taxonomy places the organism in Eukaryota, Metazoa, Arthropoda, Insecta, Hymenoptera, Vespidae. The record is from RefSeq and is a predicted model, not a curated record. The transcript is spliced from 2 exons.
CGGCUCCACGAAACGCGACGCGCCGUAUCGACUCUUGUAGUAGGGCAUCUCGCUUGAACGUCCUUGUCUCCUUUGGAGCCUCUCUCUCGAGCAUGGGAACUACCCUCGAGCGUGGCUCUUCGACGGAAAUUAGCUUCCAACUACGUCGAGGGAAGAGAUCGUUAAUUGCGGAGUCCUUUCUUUCUUCCUUUCUUUCUUUCUUUCUUUCUUUCUUUCUUUCUUUCCUUCUUUCCUUCUUUCUCUUAUGGUUAAUCCUACCGCACGUCGUUUUCUAGUGUGCUUCGAAAGAGGAAUUUUAGAAAUGUUCAUCGAGGCGCCUGAGAAUUCGCGAGACGAAAUACGGGCUCCAGCAGAUCGCCUUUUACUUGACACGCCCGACAAAGUUCGGCGUUUCGUCGCAUCGACAACAACGACGAACGAACGAGAGCACGCAAGAACCAUGUAGUAUACGUUUCGCACAUUGUUAGAACGUUAAUAAGAAGAAAUCACAAAAGAGAAUUUUUCGAUUUCCAGACGAGCCUCUUCGUCGACUAUGUCGUUGGCUUCCUCGUCACGUGUGUUUCACGUAGCACGUGUGGGCCAGAAUGUGGUAUUGUGUGUCCGAGAAAUGGGAACCAUCGAAAAUACCAUUGUCCGAUUUACGACAAGAAAAACUUAAGCCGAAUUUUUCUCAAAUGGUUACCAUUCGCACUUCGAUUCUUUCAAAUAGCAACAACAAGGGGCAUAACGUUAUUUUCUUUUUUCAUCAAUAUGGUCAACACGUGUGGACAUCGACGUUUUCUUCCCUUCAGACUAUCGAAGUCGACAUCAAUGUUUAAAAUUUUUAUGUACCAACCGAUAAUAAUCGCACCUUCGAGGGACUCAGCUGUUGUGGAUUAAGAUAAUCGUCGGAAUCGGUAGAAAGUUCUUUUUAUAAGAGGACACGAAAUCGAAAUUUCGAUAGUUGUCGAAUACAUUUGACGAAAAGGGCUUGCUCCGAGAACUGGCGAAAGGAUUCAGAAAACGUAAUUAGUAAUAAUGACGUCGUAAUAUAAGUUAAUAAUUAUCGAACGAAAGUUCGAAUUUGCGUUACGACAAAUAUCAAA